AAUUGUUAGUGGCAGACGGGUGAGUAAUGCGUAGGAAUCUACCUAGUAGUAUGGAAUAGCCAUUAGAAAUGAUGGGUAAUACUGUAUAAUCCCUGCGGGGGAAAGAUUUAUCGCUAUUAGAUGAGCCUACGUUAGAUUAGCUAGUUGGUAAGGUAAUGGCUUACCAAGGCUAUGAUCUAUAGCUGGUCUGAGAGGACGAUCAGCCACACUGGAACUGAGAUACGGUCCAGACUCCUACGGGAGGCAGCAGUGGGGAAUAUUGGACAAUGGGCGAAAGCUUGAUCCAGCUAUGCCGCGUGAGUGAAGAAGGCCUU
Molecule: ribosomal RNA, 314 nt
Filed under: Ehrlichia chaffeensis
Lineage: Bacteria; Pseudomonadati; Pseudomonadota; Alphaproteobacteria; Rickettsiales; Anaplasmataceae
Description: bacterial SSU rRNA
Rfam family: Bacterial small subunit ribosomal RNA
Source: RNAcentral